ACAGCCAUAUCACAUUGAAACACCAGUUCUCAUUCGAUCACUGAAGUUAAGCAACAUUGAACCUGGUUAGUACCUAGAUGAGUGACCACUCAGGAAUACCAGGUGCUGUAAG
Molecule: non-coding RNA, 112 nt
Organism: Acanthosepion pharaonis
Lineage: Eukaryota; Metazoa; Mollusca; Cephalopoda; Sepiida; Sepiidae
Source: the annotation of a GenBank genome assembly